This 301-nucleotide ribosomal RNA is filed under the name uncultured bacterium. RNAcentral's name for it is "partial 16S ribosomal RNA". It matches the Rfam family "Bacterial small subunit ribosomal RNA", at positions 509 to 807 of the family's 1533-position model. The record is from RNAcentral.
CAGUCGCCACGGUAAUACAGAGGGUGCAAGCGUUAAUCGGAAUUACUGGGCGUAAAGCGCGCGUAGGUGGUUCGCCAAGUUGGAUGUGAAAUCCCCGGGCUCAACCUGGGAACUGCAUCCAAAACUGGCGAGCUAGAGUAUGGUAGAGGGUGGUGGAAUUUCCUGUGUAGCGGUGAAAUGCGUAGAUAUAGGAAGGAACAUCAGUGGCGAAGGCGACCACCUGGACUGAUACUGACACUGAGGUGCGAAAGCGUGGGGAGCAAACAGGAUUAGAUACCCCCGUAGUCCCUGUCUCUUAUAC